RNAcentral lists this long non-coding RNA (1708 nucleotides) under Triticum aestivum (bread wheat). RNAcentral's name for it is "long non-coding RNA (TAES_LNC009216)". Lineage: Eukaryota; Viridiplantae; Streptophyta; Magnoliopsida; Poales; Poaceae. The record is from RNAcentral.
GGUUUCAUUUCAUUGAUAGAGGGAAACACAGCUAGCAAAGGAGGCUAAAAGUGGAGUAGCCAACUAAAAAAUCACAACCACACCACACUGCCGCUCACAAAAAAGAAGGCGAUCUGAACCAACUACUACUAACCCAUCGCCAAGAUCGAACUGCUACGGCCGCAACCAACUAAAGAACCAGCUAAAUUCUCGGCUACUUUGUACAGUUUGCUCGUCGGAUCGGAAUGAGAUGUUUGCCGCCCGGCCACCGGCGGUCACCGGAGGACGUCCGACCGCAGGUGCGAGAGCUCCUUCCUGAGCUUGUGCGAGAAGAGCCUGCACGCGUCCAUGCUCAGGUCCACGGCCGCCGCCAGGGCCACGAACGCCGCCGCGUCCUCCGCGCACCCGACGUGCGCCACCCCGACCUCCACCGUGGGCUUGCUGCACCGACCCUCGCCUUCCACCGAGGCUGACAUGACAAAGCCGCGGUAGUUCCCCAGAGGCCACUGGCUGAAGUCGCCGCUGCCACGCGGGCUGCAGCCCGGGGUGCUCCCCCGGCUCAGCGGCUGCGCGGCGGUCAGGUCGAGCGCGAACUUGCCGCCCUUGGACGCGGCGAUGGUGGAGUCCGCGAUGGGGACGGCGUGGUCCACGCCGGGGACGAGGAGGUCGAAGCGGUAGCCGAGGCUGUCGGACGACCCAGCCCCGCCGCGCUCCCGCCAGCACUCGAGGCGGCCCCACGGCUCCCACGCGCCGUCGCCCGCGGGCCGGAGGAUGAGCCACGCGCCCGGGUUGGAGCGGCUCACGCGGUCCGUCCCCGGCGAGGCCACGAACGGGGUCACCAUGGAGGCGAGCGCGACGGGGGAGCCCGAGAGGUCGUGCACCGUGACGGACCACCCCUUGCGCUCCUUCCCGGCCGCCUCCCGCUCCGUCUGCGCGACGGACCUCCGCAGGUCGCUGUUGGUGCGGCAGCCGAACUUGCAGGUGAACAUGGGCUGCUUCAUGCUGCCCCGGACCUGCAUCACCUGCGGGCUGCACUCCGGCUCGCCGUCGAACUCGAACAUGAACCGCGGGUCGGGCUCGGCGCGGACAGUGAGGCUGAGCUCCGCGGCCGCGGACCCGCCGCCCUUGCCGCCAGCCCCGCGCCUCCCGACGGAAAUCCAGCCGCUGUGCAGCACCGCGGGCUUGGCCUCGGCGCCCUUGAGAUCCAGCGAGAUGGUGGCCUUCCCGAGCAGCCGCCCGGAGCUGACGCCACAUGUAGUCCCCUUGCGGCCGGCGUAGACGGACACCUUGAGCGUGGCGGCCCCGCGGGAGGGGGAGAAGAGCGAGGGCUUGCGGGCGAACCACUCCAAAUCGGCCUUGGAGAGGUGGAAGGCCGCGGCGAGGGCGCCGGACGGGGGCUGCUCGGCGGCGGCGUCGGAGAGCACGAGCGGGGCGGCGGCGGUCUGGCAGGCCAUCUUGCCGAGGCGGAUCUUGAUGUAGCAGGGCGAGGUGGAGGGGUGGACGCCGGCGCCGGCGCCGGCGGCGGGCGGGGCCACCGGCAUUCUGAGGGCGAGGUUGCCGACCAGCACCCGCACGAACGGGCACGGGUCCAUGGCGCCGAUCGGCCAGGCAGGGUUGGAUCCGCGGCGAGCGGAGGAGGCGAGGGCGUGGGUUUGGCUCGGCUUGGAGACCCGGGAGAUAAGGUGGGAAGGAGGGAGAGAGAUUGGCGGGUGUAUAUGGGGCGGGGGGC